AUACAUAUAAACUGCCAUGUUUGUUUCGUUGAUAAAGAUCAUGGACAAUACUGUUGAAGACAAAUAAGAAUACCGUCUUUGUUGUGCGUAUGAACUUUUCAAGUAUUGAUUUUCUUCGCAUCAUUUGAAUUCAAUGGAUUCGUUCAGUUUCACAAAAUUAUAAUUUUAAUAAUAACAAGGAGUUGUCGAUUUAAAAAGAAUUCGACUUUUAAAAUGGCGACAAGAUUUAUAAUUGUUUACAAUUGAAUAGAAUAGUUCACCUGACAUGACGAAAAACGUUGUAGAAUAUAUCUAAAUAUUUCCGCAAAAGUCCUUUUACAAUGACUAACAGUACGAAUGAAUCACAGGAAUUGCUGCGACUGUUUAAAUGUGCAGUAGAUACAGGGACUGAAGUUUUAUCAGCCUUUGCUGACUACAAACUUUUACCAACGUACGGUGGAUCUUUUGAAUUGUUUCUUGACGACAAGAAGCAUAAAAUAUUUCACAUGUGGCAAUCUAAGAAGUUGUUAUGCUGUGCUUGUCCGCCGGCAGGUUGUAGCCUAAAGCGAACGGGUCUUAUGGAUAACUGGAUAUUUAAGAAAAUGUAUGAUGAGUCUGGUACUGAAGAUAGGGGACAUAUUGUCCGAAAUAGCGGAAGGCUUGUACAAGUGUGUCUACACAAAUAUAUCACACGAAAUAUCGCGAUUCAUGAAUUAGAUAUCAGCGCAAUAUCGUUUCUUCUUAGGAAUUUGACGUCGUUGUCUCAAAACGAGACCAGAGCAUUGGAUACAGUUACCACUUACAGAAGUCAGAUUUGUCAUGCACAUUCAAUGAACUGUUACACGAUGGCCGAGUUGAAUACAGCAUGGAAUGAAUUAGAGAACGCUUUUGCAGAUUUAGCGGACCGUCAUUACAAAAGGCUUAUUCGAAUGCAAAUUAAAGAGUUAAGAAAAGUUAAUUUGGAGAAAGAAGAAAUAACCGAAUUGAUGAAAAGAGUACAGGAAGUAGAAUUAGUAUUACAAAAAAUUAAUUCCUCCUGUACUGACAAUAUCAGGUAUUUUGGAGCCAUGGAAAGCAGGCUUAAAAUGUUGUCAAUUAACAACACAGAAGAUAUCAAAGAAAACACUUCUAUACAAGUAGAAACAACGAAACAUGCACUGUCAGAAAAGUUACAAAAUACAGAGAAGAACUUAGAAAAUUAUAUUAAACACGAGGUAAAAGAAGUGAAAGAAUCUCAAGCAAACAGUCUACAAAUGGUUGAAAACCAACUAGAUACAACUACAUCAGAUAUCAAGGAAUAUAAGGAAAGUCAAAAGGAAUUCAAGGAAAAGCAAGUGGAAAUGAUCAGAGCAAUACAGAACUUAAUGCUGUCAGUGAAGUAUGAAAGGCCUGAUCACUUACUUGUACCUGUGGAACCAUGACUAGAUUCAUUGGAAUGUCCUGUCAUGUGGCAAAUAGCAACUCCUGGGGACUGGAACCUUGAAGUUGUAGAAGCAACUCUUCGAAAUCCAUCAAACAAAGAUGAAAUAUUUAAGAAAAUAUUUGUGAGGAAAGGGUCUUUGAUUAUGUUAACAACGAUAGCAUCAAGUAUACUUCGUGAUCCUGAAGCAUUUGAAUCUGCGGUUAUAUCAUUUCUUACGAAAAUGAUAGAAGAUUGUAAUAUCAAUACAGAAAUACCAUGCCAAGUUGACGUCACGCUUCACAUUUUGAAUGCCAAUGAAGUGAACGUAUCCUGCAAACUACCCAACAUACAUAUAGAAGAUAAAGUUGUUCAAACAGAAGAUACAGAUUACGAACACCAAACUAGAAUUGAGAAACACUGGAAUGAAUGCGAAAUAUUUGAUGUAGCAUUUUUAAAUAGUGACAAUCAAAGAGAAAUUGAAUGGAUACAGAAUAUUUCGACAGUGUUAAAAGCGAAGUAUGAUAUAACUUGUGCUAUCCCUACGCAAAAUUAUCUGUAUGGUUUUCCAUUAAAACAUAGACUGUUUCAGUACCUUAAUAAAUGUCAAGCAGUUAUAUUAACAGUAACGGAGGCAAAUUAUGCUCAGUAUGAAAGUUAUAUGGACGAUAAAAUGUCGCUCAUAAUUGUCGAAUUAGAUUACAUAAGUGAGAUACGUAGGAAGCUUUGGAAAUUCCCAUACAUCAACUGUACAACCUGUGAGCAUCUUUGGUUUCCACGACUUAUAGAUACCUUAAAGACUAAACUACCAGAACAAUGAUUAUUUAUUCAAGAUCAUUUGAGAAAAAAGAUACAAAACGUUAAAGACGAACAAGACGAACAUUGUGAUAAGUGCAAGUCGGCAUUGAUGACUGCAGUCUAUCAUAAAGUUGAACUGAGAAAUUAUACAGGCUUCAGAAAGCAGCUAUUUGUUAUAUUUUGUGGAUCACUCAUCGAUGAUGCAUGGAUACUGAAUUUUCUAAAUCAAAAAACAGAAUUCAUGAAGCCAUAUACAAUUUAUCACUGGUAUAAAACACUAAAAAGUCAAUUUACAGAGGAAACUUCUUCCAAAGUAUUUGUUUGCGUUUCACCAAAUAUACAUAAAUGUCGAUUAAUAGGAGAAUAUGUUAACUAUCUUGUUAACGACAACACAAUAACAGUACAUUUGAUAAAGAUUGCAACAGCGGAGAUCCCAAAGUUCCUUGGUCAUCUACCAAAUUGUAUAGACGCUACAACCAUGGAUCAGAAAGAGCUUGCCCAUAAACUAUUUCCUCCUCCAGCAGCUAAAAUUUUAGAUCACAUGGAUCAGCAGUACUCCCAAGAGCCAGAACUAUUAGAUUCCAAGUGCAUUAUACAGUGAUUGUAUUCCCUCCAAAGAGAAAAUGCUGUACCGAAACCAAAUGGCGAAAACUAGCGACACAAGAGGAUUCAAGACCAAUCAAAACGAAAUUAUUCCAAAUAUAGCUAGUCAGUUUUUGCCUUCCUGUCAGUUGACAGUUUGUUCAGCUCAGACUGUUCUUUUAAUUAUAAAAAAAAAAAAUUCUUUUUAGAAAUGCUUAGAUUUAUAACUCUCUACACAGAUAUCCAUGCACAAAGUAUUCCUUCAUAUACCUGAUUUAUUUAAUGUUUGCUUAUAGAAAUAUAUAUAUGAAAUUUACGUUAUUAAAGUAAAAUAUAAAAUAAAAACAAAUGAAGGAGAAAAUUAUAAAAAGUUGUUCUUUAAAAAAGUAUUUUUUUAAAAGAAAGUAAUUAUUAAAUUAUAUAAUUAUAGUAAAUUUUAAAGAAUUAUGAAACUGAGCCAUGUUAAAUUAAAGAAAAUAACUUUGAAGCCUAAAAAUACAUGUUCGUAUUUUGAUAUCAAUAAUUUAAAUAGGUUGGUUGUAUUUCGUUCAGUUCAGUCAAUUAUGCAGUAGACUGCUCUGUUCACUAUAAGGUCAUGAUCACUAGGGAGAACGGACUCAACAACUGCAUUAUCAGUACAUGUGUAUAUUAUAUCAUUUACUUUUAUUUUUCUUAUGAUGUAUCAUGUACAGUGUUGUCAUUAUUCUUUUUAUUUGCAUGUAUGCCAUUAAUUGUAACGUGGAUGGAGAGUUGUCUCAUUGGCACUCAUACCACAUCUUCCUAUAUCUACAUAAACAUAUUUGUAAUGUUAUUCGAUUAAUGAGUGUGUUUUGGUACCUCAGGAAGGAUAGUUUUACACAAAUUCAGAGCAACUUUGAGUCUUCCUUACUAACACUUAUGUAAUGACAAUAAAAAGUGCCAAUAUUU
Mytilus californianus (California mussel) is the source of this 3685-nucleotide RNA transcript. RefSeq lists it as uncharacterized. The record is from RefSeq and is a predicted model, not a curated record. NCBI's taxonomy places the organism in Eukaryota, Metazoa, Mollusca, Bivalvia, Mytilida, Mytilidae. The transcript has 11 exons.